GAUGAACGCUGGCGGCAUGCCUAAUACAUGCAAGUCGAGCGAACAGACGAGGAGCUUGCUCCUCUGACGUUAGCGGCGGACGGGUGAGUAACACGUGGAUAACCUACCUAUAAGACUGGGAUAACUUCGGGAAACCGGAGCUAAUACCGGAUAAUAUAUUGAACCGCAUGGUUCAAUAGUGAAAGACGGUUUUGCUGUCACUUAUAGAUGGAUCCGCGCCGCAUUAGCUAGUUGGUAAGGUAACGGCCUACCAAGGCAACGAUGCGUAGCCGACCUGAGAGGGUGAUCGGCCACACUGGAACUGAGACACGGUCCAGACUCCUACGGGAGGCAGCAGUAGGGAAUCUUCCGCAAUGGGCGAAAGCCUGACGGAGCAACGCCGCGUGAGUGAUGAAGGUCUUCGGAUCGUAAAACUCUGUUAUUAGGGAAGAACAAAUGUGUAAGUAACUAUGCACGUCUUGACGGUACCUAAUCAGAAAGCCACGGCUAACUACGUG
This 497-nucleotide ribosomal RNA is filed under the name uncultured bacterium. RNAcentral describes it as "partial 16S ribosomal RNA". It matches the Rfam family "Bacterial small subunit ribosomal RNA", at positions 28 to 507 of the family's 1533-position model. The record is from RNAcentral.